This 383-nucleotide long non-coding RNA is filed under the name Nicotiana benthamiana. RNAcentral's name for it is "long non-coding RNA (NBEN_LNC042159)". Lineage: Eukaryota; Viridiplantae; Streptophyta; Magnoliopsida; Solanales; Solanaceae. The record is from RNAcentral.
AACAUGCCUAAUGCUUUCGUUACGGUAUAAUCAGUCAUUCAACCGACUUUUUCCUUAUUUGGUAGCAUGUGCUCUUAUUCGAAUUUUGAGUCCCUAAUUUAUUUGAAUUAGGACCUAUGAUUGAUUUAGUUUGGUAUUUUUUCUAUAACUAUACACUCACUACCCUAUUUGCUACUAUUUUCAAAACUAUAAGUACUACUCUUCUCUUCUCACUUGACACCUCCCUACCCUAUUCUCUACUAUUUUCAUAACUAUAAGUAUUACUCUUCCCUUCUCACUUGACACAGACACGAAUACAAUUCCUCAAAACUUUUCCUUCAGAAAUAUUCGAUGCCUUCUCUCUAUACUGUUCCAUGCAAACUCUCUCAUUCUCUUAUUGAAAC